AGUGAACGCUGGCGGUAGGCCUAACACAUGCAAGUCGAACGGCAGCACAGUAAGAGCUUGCUCUUACGGGUGGCGAGUGGCGGACGGGUGAGGAAUACAUCGGAAUCUACUUUUUCGUGGGGGAUAACGUAGGGAAACUUACGCUAAUACCGCAUACGACCUACGGGUGAAAGCAGGGGAUCUUCGGACCUUGCUCGAUUGAAUGAGCCGAUGUCGGAUUAGCUAGUUGGCGGGGUAAAGGCCCACCAAGGCGACGAUCCGUAGCUGGUCUGAGAGGAGGAUCAGCCACACUGGAACUGAGACACGGUCCAGACUCCUACGGGAGGCAGCAGUGGGGAAUAUUGGACAAUGGGCGCAAGCCUGAUCCAGCCAUACCGCGUGGGUGAAGAAGGCCUUCGGGUUGUAAAGCCCUUUUGUUGGGAAAGAAAAGCAGCAGGUUAAUACCCCGCUGUUCUGACGGUACCCAAAGAAUAAGCACCGGCUAACUUCGUG
RNAcentral lists this ribosomal RNA (492 nucleotides) under uncultured bacterium. Its description in RNAcentral is "partial 16S ribosomal RNA". It matches the Rfam family "Bacterial small subunit ribosomal RNA", at positions 29 to 507 of the family's 1533-position model. The record is from RNAcentral.